CCCUUAGAUGUUCUGGGCAGCACGCGCGCUACAAUGGUCUUCGCAAACGGAUGCAUUCUCGAAGGAGAAUGCCAAUCUUGGAAUCUAUGCCUUGGUCGGGACAGUUGCUUGCAAUUUUUCGACUCGAACCAGGAAUUUCUUGUAAUCGUGAUUCAUCACAUCACGAUGAAUACGUCCCUGCCCUUUGUACACACCGCCCGUCGCUCCUACCGAUCGAAGAGUUAGGUGAAUUGUUUUGAUCGAUAAGAUUUGACUAUGGUCAACUCUCGUUGUGAAAUUCUGUGAAUCUGACUGUUUAGAGGAAGGAAAAGUCGUAACA
Molecule: ribosomal RNA, 319 nt
Filed under: uncultured eukaryote
Lineage: Eukaryota
Description: partial 18S ribosomal RNA
Rfam family: Eukaryotic small subunit ribosomal RNA
Source: RNAcentral